This 253-nucleotide ribosomal RNA is filed under the name uncultured bacterium. RNAcentral describes it as "partial 16S ribosomal RNA". It matches the Rfam family "Bacterial small subunit ribosomal RNA", at positions 524 to 776 of the family's 1533-position model. The record is from RNAcentral.
UACGUAGGGGGCAAGCGUUGUCCGGAAUCAUUGGGCGUAAAGAGCGUGUAGGCGGCCAGAAAAGUCCGCUGUGAAAACUCGAGGCUCAACUUCGAGCUGUCGGUGGAAACUUUCUGGCUAGAGUCCGGAAGAGGAGAAUGGAAUUCCUGGUGUAGCGGUGAAAUGCGCAGAUAUCAGGAAGAACACCCGUGGCGAAAGCGGCUCUCUGGAACGGUACUGACGCUGAGACGCGAAAGCGUGGGGAGCGAACAGG